AGCUCCAAUAGCGUAUAUUAAAGUUGUUGCAGUUAAAAAGCUCGUAGUUGGAUCUCGGAUCCGGGCGAAUGGUCCGCCUCGCGGCGGUUUACUGUUCGAUGGCGUCGGUCGGGCGGCCUCUUCGGGGGUUCGUUUCGGUCGGCGUCGUUCCCGGUCUCUCACCCUCUGGACGCUCGUCGGUGCUCUUGACUGCAGUGCCGGCGGUGGCCAGGACGUUUACUUUGAAAAAAUUAGAGUGUUCCAAGCAGGCGCGUUCCGCCCGAAUAAUGGUGCAUGGAAUAAUAGAAUAGGACCUCGGUUCUAUUUUGUUGGUUUUCGGAACUAGAGGUAAUGAUUAAGAGGGACAGACGGGGGCAUUCGUAUUGCGGUGUUAGAGGUGAAAUUCUUGGAUCGCCGCAAGACGAACUACUGCGAAAGCAUUUGCCAAGAAUGUUUUCA
This 438-nucleotide ribosomal RNA is filed under the name marine Metazoa environmental sample. Its description in RNAcentral is "SSU rRNA". It matches the Rfam family "Eukaryotic small subunit ribosomal RNA", at positions 587 to 972 of the family's 1831-position model. Lineage: Eukaryota; Metazoa. The record is from RNAcentral.